AGAACGAACGCUGGCGGCAUGCCUAAUACAUGCAAGUCGAACGAACUCUUCGGAGUUAGUGGCGCACGGGUGCGUAACGCGUGGGAAUCUGCCCUUGGGUUCGGAAUAACAGUUGGAAACGACUGCUAAUACCGGAUGAUGACGAAAGUCCAAAGAUUUAUCGCCCAGGGAUGAGCCCGCGUAGGAUUAGCUAGUUGGUGAGGUAAAGGCUCACCAAGGCGACGAUCCUUAGCUGGUCUGAGAGGAUGAUCAGCCACACUGGGACUGAGACACGGCCCAGACUCCUACGGGAGGCAGCAGUAGGGAAUAUUGGACAAUGGGCGAAAGCCUGAUCCAGCAAUGCGCGUGAGUGAUGAAGGCCUUAGGUUGUAAAGCUCUUUUACCCGAGAUGAUAAUGACAGUAUCGGAAGAAUAAGCCCCGGCUAACUCCGCGCCAGCAGCCGC
This 444-nucleotide ribosomal RNA is filed under the name uncultured soil bacterium. RNAcentral's name for it is "bacterial SSU rRNA". It matches the Rfam family "Bacterial small subunit ribosomal RNA", at positions 26 to 518 of the family's 1533-position model. The record is from RNAcentral.